AUGCAUCAACUUUGGGGGGUAGCCUCUGCUAUCAAAGAUGAUCUGUGGAAGAUUAUGUGCCCGCAGAAGAUACAUGUAUUCCUAUGGUUGUGCGCUCACAAUAAACUUCUGACUAGGGAUAAUCUGUUAAAGAGGAGGGAGGUUGAUGAUCCUUCCUGUCUCUUUUUUGCAGAGCUCGAAUCUGUACAGCAUUUGAUGUUUGAUUGUGUAGUUGCUCAACAUGUGUGGGGUUUUGUAUCUGACUUCUUUGAGAUGGAUAGAAUUGCUAACUUUGACGAUAUCUUUGCUUUCUGGCGAGUUCAUAAAAAAAGCCUGUGCUUAACAUGGUUAUUGUUGCCUCCUUGUGGAAUUUGUGGAGACUAA
This 363-nucleotide ribosomal RNA is filed under the name Triticum aestivum (bread wheat). RNAcentral's name for it is "partial small subunit ribosomal RNA". Lineage: Eukaryota; Viridiplantae; Streptophyta; Magnoliopsida; Poales; Poaceae. The record is from RNAcentral.